Non-coding RNA from Acanthosepion pharaonis, 102 nucleotides. The record is from the annotation of a GenBank genome assembly. Lineage: Eukaryota; Metazoa; Mollusca; Cephalopoda; Sepiida; Sepiidae.
CCAUUCUGGUUCUCUGGUUCCCAUACGAUCACCGAAGUUAAGCAACCACACGCCUAGUCAGAAGCAAGAUGGGUGACCGCUUGGCAAUACCAAGUGUUGUAC